Molecule: non-coding RNA, 135 nt
Organism: Triticum aestivum (bread wheat)
Lineage: Eukaryota; Viridiplantae; Streptophyta; Magnoliopsida; Poales; Poaceae
Source: Rfam
GUAGUACUCCCUCUGUCCCAAAAUUGUUGUCUAACAUUUGUCUAGAUACGGAUGCAUCUAAUACUAAAACGUGACUCGAUAUAUCCGUAUUUAUACAAAUUUAAGACAAGAAUUUUGGGACGGAGGGAGUAGUAC